AAAUGUCUGCUUGCUGAUAAGAAAUUAGUUACUCUCUCCUCCCCCAGGAUACCCUGGGAGCUGGAAAACUGAUCAUUAUGCUGACUUUCACCACUGGGGGAAGGAAAAAAGACUGGCAGGCAUUUCCAUAAGCUGUGAGGGUAUUACUGGUAAAGCACUCAAAAACUGAAGGAUGUUUUUGAAGAGUAAAUGAUAAAAGGCUGAGAAGAAGCUAACAAAGAGAGACACUUGACAGGCAAUUUGUUUGGAUAGUGACAGACUCUUCUGAAUACCUUCUUGUUGAGUGGCCAACCUCCACACACCUCAAUCACUUUUGCUGCUUGACUUGAUUUUAAAAGGAAGAAAAAAUCUAUAUACUGAACAUACAGCUCCAUCCAGUAGAAAUUAAUACAAGCAAAUACACAUCAGUAACUUACAGGUAGGAUUGUCAGGAAUAGGCUGCAAUUGUCUAUAAAACCCCAAAAGCACAACAGUGACGAGGAAAUUGGGAGUCUAAAAGAACUGCAGUUAUGCAUACAGACAUGCUGUGUGGAAAUAAAGAGCUAAGGCACCUCAACUGAUCUAAUUUUGUCCUUUCUGAGGCCACAAAGAUAUAAGUACACCUCAACUGCUCCAGAAAGGACAAGCUCAAAAGUCAUCCAUUUGGGUUCCAACAGCUUAGGAAAAAAAGCAAUAGUGAACCUCAUCUAGGAUACAACUGGUGCUAGAUUGCUAGUAAAGUCAGGACAGCUAUCCAGUCCAAAAAAAAGGAUGGAUCCAGCCCUUAUAAGAACUACUGCAGCAACAAGAAGAACCUGAAAUAACUCCUGAAUAAUGAAAACAUGGGAAAACCCAAACUUGCCAUACACCAUCAGCUCAAUCUAGCAGGCUGCCUGCCCUAGAGCCUCAAUUUGUGCCACCAAAAACAUGCACAGAUGCUCCUGAUGUGCAGUGAUCUAAAGGAAUCUUUUUGGCAACUCUUCCUUGAAGAAGCCUUCCAGAAAUAACAUGAAACUACUGAAUGAGUUAGUUUCAUCGAUGACAGCUCCAAUCAGAACAUCACCACCACCAGGAAAGAGACUGGACUUCACGCUGAGGGAAUCUGUCCAUGGGCUACUGAACUGAGUGCUUUAAGAAGAGAACCACUGCACCAUAGAAGAAAACUGUUCCUGGUCCAUUCCUGGUCUUUCCAGCCUGAUUUUCAAUGUAAACAUAGAAAGCACAUUCCAAACAGGAGCCCAAGGAGCAAGAAUUCAUAAUAUUGGUUGUCUCCUAUACAGUCCAAGAGGAUUUGCCUACCAAACUAGCAGGCAAGAGAGCAAGAGGGCAUCUCUCCUCUGUUGCAAACUCUUAGGCAAGGAGAAAUGUUUUUCCCUACCUGGAGUCCCCAUCUUGAUCUUCUGUGGUGUCACCAGAGCUAUUGACAGCAUAUCGACUCCUUGGUUUAUCUGCAAAAAUAGGAACAAAGCAAGCUUUUUCAAGGGACAUUCUCCUUAAAUUGUUCAUUCAAACAAGUGCACUGAGAGAAUUCUAUAACAGAGAUCUAAAAAAAAGGACUAGUAAAAGCAGAAAGACCUUUCCUUUUCAGGUUGAAGUAGUAGAACUUGUUUUUACUAUUCUCAGUCAAAACCACAUCAAAA
Colius striatus (speckled mousebird) is the source of this 1619-nucleotide long non-coding RNA. RefSeq lists it as uncharacterized. The record is from RefSeq and is a predicted model, not a curated record. The transcript has 3 exons. NCBI's taxonomy places the organism in Eukaryota, Metazoa, Chordata, Aves, Coliiformes, Coliidae.